Molecule: non-coding RNA, 89 nt
Organism: Pelobates cultripes (western spadefoot toad)
Lineage: Eukaryota; Metazoa; Chordata; Amphibia; Anura; Pelobatidae
Source: the annotation of a GenBank genome assembly
UAUUCAAUAACUCAGCUGGUAGAGCGGAGGACUGUAGUUGGUAUACGAUAACAAUCCUUAGGUCGCUGGUUCAAUUCCGGCUCGAAGGA